AAUGUAGAUAUGAUUUCUAGUGCAAAAAGCAUGAAGCGGGGAACAUCAAA
This 50-nucleotide small RNA is filed under the name Arabidopsis thaliana (thale cress). RNAcentral describes it as "ATSL065840". Lineage: Eukaryota; Viridiplantae; Streptophyta; Magnoliopsida; Brassicales; Brassicaceae. The record is from RNAcentral.